GACGAACGCUGGCGGCGCGCCUAACACAUGCAAGUCGAACGAUCGAGGGAGAGCUUGCUUUCUCGAGCGAGUGGCGAACGGGUGAGUAACGCGUGAGGAACCUGCCGCAAAGAGGGGGACAACAGUUGGAAACGACUGCUAAUACCGCAUAAGCCCACGGCUCGGCAUCGAGCAGGGGGAAAAGGAGCAAUCCGCUUUGGGAUGGCCGCGCUUCCGAUUAGCUAGUUGGUGAGGGAACGGCCCACCAAAGCGACGAUCGGUAGCCGGGGUGAGAGGUUGAACGGAGACAUUGGCGCUGGGACACGGCCCAGACUCCUACGGGAGGCAGGAGUGGGGAAUAUUGCAAAAUGGGGGAAGCCAUGAUGCAGCGACGCCGGGUGGAGGAAGAAGGUCUGCGGAUUGUAAACUCCUGUUGUUGGGGAAGAUAAUGACGGUACCUAAAAAGGAAGUGACGGCUAACUACGUG
This 466-nucleotide ribosomal RNA is filed under the name uncultured bacterium. RNAcentral describes it as "partial 16S ribosomal RNA". It matches the Rfam family "Bacterial small subunit ribosomal RNA", at positions 28 to 507 of the family's 1533-position model. The record is from RNAcentral.